AAAUCUGUUUACACAGUCACGUCAUGGGGACCUCUGACGGUGUGGGGACAAAAAAUCAGGUCCCCAUGAAGGAAGCCCUAUUAAAUGAGUGCAGGAGCUAUUCUGAAGGUGCCUGUGUGAUUUUUAGCAUUGGCCCAUCACACAUGUUUUUCAGUCAGUGUGUGUGUGUGUGGAGUGCUCACUUUCGCCCCUCGUAGUUUGGGACUGGUAGUGCACUUGCUGCUCCACACACACACUUAUUCCAAAUAUGGCUGGGCACUGCCCACUUCCUUGUCCCCAUAAGGAAGGAUUUUACCAGCAUGUUACAGGCUGCAAUCCACACGGUGGAUGAAGAGAUGGAUUAUUUACAGAAGAUAUACCAGCUUAUGACCUUGGAAUUUUUGCAAAGGAGCAAAAGUGAAACACAAGACAACCAGCACUGCAGCUGAUUCCAUAGCAGUGGUUGAUUUCCAUCCUUCACUAUGCCGAAGACUCAGAGAGAUGAUGCUACAGGUCCAAACAACUCUCCUCAACAGACAACCAGCACUGCAGCUGAUUCCAUAGCAGUGGUUGAUUUCCAUCCUUCACUAUGCCAAAGACUCAGAAGGAUGAUGCUACAGGUCCAAACAACUCUCCUCAACAGACAACCAGCACUGCAGCUGAUUCCAUAGCAGUGGUUGAUUUCCAUCCUUCACUAUGCCAAAGACUCAGAGAGAUGAUGCUACAGGUCCAAACAACUCUCCUCAACAGGUUAGGCCACCCAGAUGAAGAAAACAUCCUGGCAGCAAACAGAUGUGCAGAUGAUGGAAAGGCGCAUGAAUCGAUUCAUCACAUCUUGUACCAGCGUCAACUGACUGUGAGAAGUAUUUAUGGGCUGAACUGGGAGCAGCAGAAACUGAAAUUCUUCAUUUAUAACCACAUUACGGCCUACAGGCAUGUAAAAGUUGCCUUCCAUUUUUAUUUUUUUAAUAUGUAUUAUCCUAUUUCUGCUGUGUUGUGCAGUUGACUACAUGCACAGCAAACAGCACUAUGCUUUGUAUCAGUAGCACCAUUUUCUGGCCUCAUACUAUGUCUUUACAUAAACUAUGAGGAAGUAAGCUGAGCUAAAUUUCAAAAUUUGAUAUUGAUUUACUACACCUGUAUUUUUUCUACAAAUUUGCAGAUUAAACUUUUCUUUCAACAAA
Lates calcarifer (barramundi perch) is the source of this 1163-nucleotide long non-coding RNA. RefSeq lists it as uncharacterized. The transcript has 5 exons. Lineage: Eukaryota; Metazoa; Chordata; Actinopteri; Centropomidae. The record is from RefSeq and is a predicted model, not a curated record.